Long non-coding RNA from Pieris rapae (cabbage white), 341 nucleotides. RefSeq lists it as uncharacterized. The record is from RefSeq and is a predicted model, not a curated record. The transcript has 2 exons. Lineage: Eukaryota; Metazoa; Arthropoda; Insecta; Lepidoptera; Pieridae.
AAAGACAAAGCUGUCACAAACACAUCACAGAACCAUACAAUAUGAAGUUAAUUCUAUUUUUCUUUAUCGUAACAAUUUCCGCUGUUCUUAGCGAGGAAGUUUUAAAGGGCCCUAAUUAUGUUUGUUUAAUAAAAUCUAUUGUUAAAUUCGCAAAAUGUUUGAAAAAAAAUCACGGUUUCCUAUUAAAUUCGAGCGAAAGUAUGGAAUUCGGAUCGAGUCCGGUGGCAGAAUGUUUAAAACAUUGGGUAGAAGACGUGCUGGCUUGUAUUUAAAUCGAUUUACAUGGUGUUCAAAUAAUAUCCUGCACUUGGAACAUUGAAAAUAAAUAUCUAAAUAAGCAA